UACGUAGGGUGCAAGCGUUAAUCGGAAUUACUGGGCGUAAAGCGUGCGCAGGCGGUUGUGCAAGACAGGUGUGAAAUCCCCGGGCUUAACCUGGGAACUGCGCUUGUGACUGCACGACUAGAGUACGGCAGAGGGGGGUGGAAUUCCUGGUGUAGCAGUGAAAUGCGUAGAGAUCAGGAGGAACAUCGAUGGCGAAGGCAGCCCCCUGGGCCUGUACUGACGCUCAUGCACGAAAGCGUGGGGAGCAAACAGG
RNAcentral lists this ribosomal RNA (253 nucleotides) under uncultured bacterium. Its description in RNAcentral is "partial 16S ribosomal RNA". It matches the Rfam family "Bacterial small subunit ribosomal RNA", at positions 524 to 776 of the family's 1533-position model. The record is from RNAcentral.